This is a long non-coding RNA of Rattus norvegicus (Norway rat), 594 nucleotides long. RefSeq lists it as uncharacterized. Lineage: Eukaryota; Metazoa; Chordata; Mammalia; Rodentia; Muridae. The record is from RefSeq and is a predicted model, not a curated record.
UCCUGCCUUCCCCAGCUAGCGGCUGGCACCUCCUUGCCUGGGUGCUGUUCAAUUUAUCUUAGGGUUGAAAAGUUACAGUUGGACUGAUCACUGAAUCCGCAAAUCAGGAAAGAGCUGGAGGGAGGGUGCUCAAGCUCCAGAAGAAUGGAAAACUUGGGAUGGAGGGAAAACUAGCUUCUGGGCAGAGUGUGCCACCCUGAAAAAGUCAGCCAAUGAGGAUCCAGGGAAACGUGAUUGGGUGCACCGGCCAUUUUUACCAUUCUCUCUCUGCAGAUUGAUGCCCGGCUUUGCAAUGUCUGUAAUAGACUUCUUCGCUGCUGGGUCUCCAGGACUCUAUGAGGCCAUUUCUGCAAGGAAAAGUUUGCCAAUAAAACGAGGCGUAAGGCAAGCUCAACCUUGAACAGAGCAUGAAUGGCGAGAACCAGUGUCUGAUACCCAGCAUCCAACAGGGGAGCUUACAACCAUUCCUAACUCCAACUCCAGGGACUCCAGCGCCCCCUUCUGGCCUCUGAGGCUACUGCACACAGACAAACAUGCAGGCAAAAUAUGUAAAUACGUAAAAUAAGGGUAAAUAAAUUUUAAGGAAAAACAGAA